UGCACAACUUACAGGUCUUGACAUCUUCUGACAGUCUAAGAGAUUAGAGGUUCCCUUCGGGGACAGAAUGACAGGUGGUGCAUGGUUGUCGUCAGCUCGUGUCGUGAGAUGUUGGGUUAAGUCCCGCAACGAGCGCAACCCUUAUUACUAGUUGCCAGCAUUAAGUUGGGCACUCUAGUGAGACUGCCGGUGACAAACCGGAGGAAGGUGGGGACGACGUCAAAUCAUCAUGCCCCUUAUGACCUGGGCUACACACGUGCUACAAUGG
RNAcentral lists this ribosomal RNA (268 nucleotides) under Pediococcus pentosaceus. RNAcentral's name for it is "partial 16S ribosomal RNA". It matches the Rfam family "Bacterial small subunit ribosomal RNA", at positions 962 to 1233 of the family's 1533-position model. Lineage: Bacteria; Bacillati; Bacillota; Bacilli; Lactobacillales; Lactobacillaceae. The record is from RNAcentral.